RNAcentral lists this transfer RNA (85 nucleotides) under Candidatus Saccharimonadota bacterium. RNAcentral describes it as "tRNA-Leu". It matches the Rfam family "tRNA". Rfam says of the family: Transfer RNA (tRNA) molecules are approximately 80 nucleotides in length. Their secondary structure includes four short double-helical elements and three loops (D, anti-codon, and T loops). Further hydrogen bonds mediate the characteristic L-shaped molecular structure. tRNAs have two regions of fundamental functional importance: the anti-codon, which is responsible for specific mRNA codon recognition, and the 3' end, to which the tRNAs corresponding amino acid is attached (by aminoacyl-tRNA synthetases). tRNAs cope with the degeneracy of the genetic code in two manners: having more than one tRNA (with a specific anti-codon) for a particular amino acid; and 'wobble' base-pairing, i.e. permitting non-standard base-pairing at the 3rd anti-codon position. Lineage: Bacteria; Candidatus Saccharimonadota. The record is from RNAcentral. RNAcentral also lists the same sequence under 1 other name.
GCGCGAGUGGCGGAAUUGGUAGACGCGCUAGUCUUAGGAACUAGUGCCUUCGGGCGUGGAGGUUCAAGUCCUCUCUCGCGCACCA